ACUUGGCGGCCACGUGACGGCAGCGGGGCCGGCGGCGCGCUCGCCUCCUGCCGGGCCGCGACGGGGCCGCCCGCGCCGGUCCGCACCGGCCCGCGGGCGUCGGGGCAGCGGCGGGCAGCGCGGGGAGGCGGCGGGGCAGAGGCCGGCGGGGCGGCAGCACGGCGGGAGGAACGGGCGCAGCGAGAAGCCCCCGGCUCGGCCCGCGCCCCGGGGAGCGAGGGGCCGCAGGGCCUGCGGCGAGAGGAGCGCGGCCACCGCCCGGGCCGGCGCGCGCAGCGCUGGCGGUACCGCGCGAGCCGCCGGGCGUCCUGCGUAGUGCGCUCCAUGGGCCUGCGUGACCCGCCCGGGGCGCUGAAGCCGCCAGGGUUGGCUGGAGCCCGGCCGAAGCCGAGUCCCAGCGAGGAAGGCCGCGCUAGAGGCCGCGCUCGUUAAGAGCCGCUGCUCAGCCCCGUCGCCGCGGGAGCGGUGCUUGGCCGCGGCGUCGGGGCAGCACCUGGGCCCCGCACGGCGCCAGCAGCCAGCCCGUCGCCUGCCCAGCGGGCGCGUUCCCACCGUUGCCGCCGGGAAGCAGCCCGGGGCUGGUCCCGCUGGCUGGCGGCUGCCGUCGCGGCGUGGGCCCGCGGGGCUCCGCUGGUGGCGGGACGAGAUGGCGACUGCCGGGCACGAACGGCGAGGGGGAGCGGUGGGCUCCGAAGGUUUAGCUGGCCUUGCAGGCAGGCAGGCAGAGGGGGUCAGGUGCCUUUUGUUUAAAAGCGAAUCUGCCUGUGGAUCUGCCUCGUUAGUGGUACUCAAUAAAUAGAUAAUUUUUACUACAGAUAAGAAACUACAACAAUAUCCUUUUGUUUUCCAGCUUCAGAGGUCAAACGUUUCAAGGAAUUUGUGACUUUUUUUUCCCUGACAGAAAAAAUUUGACUUAAUGAAAGCAAAACAUUUCUUCUCUUUCCUAACCCUUCCAAACUAUGCACUAUUUUACAUACGUGUGCUCUUCCUAAGAUUUGUCUCUCCCCAUUCUAUGAGCCUUUUUCCUAAAUACGCUUUAGUUUUCUGAGUGUAUUGUAUUUAAAUUAAGAUGGAAGAACACUACUACUGUGAAAGUGUAUUUAUCUUGUACUUAAAAGCGUUUAUGGCCAUGUGUUCGGAAAUUGCAGUUUUUAAUGCAGCGUUUUUUUUUAAACAGAGCAAACUGCACUUGAACCUUCCUUGUUGAUUCUCAAAAUAAUCAAAGUUUUAUCAACAUGGUAUAAACAUACUACAUAUUUUUGCAUAAGCAAACACGGAACGUGUUUGAAGCCAGUCCUGUCCUCGGUGAGAUGAGUUCACAGCUUCAGUGCCUGCCUCUCCCAUCAGACACAGAUCGCUCCGCACAGCCCCGUCGGUGGGGAAGGCUUUGCACUUGGCUGGUGCCACACGCAGAGGACUAAGCCCGCCCCACCAAGAUGACCACCUCCAGUGGGACGAUGAGCUGUCCGUCUGCUCGCAAAGCCCCAUCGCGCCGAUUGCCACCUGGAGAGGAUUCCACAACCACACAAGCAAGCAGUGUAUACAGAUGCUUCCAGACAGUGCAGUUAGGAAUCUGUUUACAUCCCAGAAUAAAACAAGAAACAAACACAAAUCUGUGGAUGACUAGGAAUCAUCAAAAGCAAGUUAUCCCCUUGAUUACAAAUUCCUAACUCCCAUCGCUCUGGAACGUGCAGGAGAGGGCAGAACCCAACCUCUCUGUGAAAGACAGGCUCUGUAUAUACCAGUCCUGCGUGUAGUGCCACUUAAAAUGUCUUUUGACAGAAGAAAUGGGAGUAAUUUUAAAGGCUGUAGCAUUGAAAGUAGUGAUGCAGUAAGAAAGAAAAACCUUUGCUAGGCUUCGCAAUUGCAGUAAAAACCAGUUCUUGACAAGAGGAGAAACUUCAUGUUCCAGUCUAGCAUAGGUCUGAUCUUAGGACAAGCAGUUAUAAGCCAACAAUAUUUCAUGACUACAGUUGGAUUUCCAUCUUGUUGGUUUUUUCCAGACAGAAGAGAGGAGGAGCUAAUAAACAAAACACCUUAGCAAACAUCAUAACAAAAAAUAUUCCUACAUAGUAACAGAACUAUGAUAAAUAUUGUGUGGUUAUUUGCUUUGGCAGGGUCUGCAUUUAAGAGCAAGAGAAUGCAUGAAGAAACACACAACCCAGUGUCAUGUACAUCAUUAAAGUUUCCACAGAUCCAUUUUAGUAAAUGCACUUUGUUAAAUUAAGAAAUUUCUUUCUGAGCCAAGAUUACUUAAAAAAAAAAGUCUACUGAGGCCUCUGUUAUAUUAUAAAUGAAAAUGACAACUGGCAA
Molecule: long non-coding RNA, 2313 nt
Organism: Dromaius novaehollandiae (emu)
Lineage: Eukaryota; Metazoa; Chordata; Aves; Casuariiformes; Dromaiidae
Exons: 2
Source: RefSeq, a predicted model, not a curated record